CCCUGAGUGCUGCUGGUGUGACCCCCCAAAAAUACCCAUAAAAACCUUCCUAGGCAUGGAAGAGCAAGUCCUUAUUGAUUGGCAAAGCUGUACCAUUUUAUUGGUAACAGAUUCUGACUUGCACAAGGGACAUCU
Small nucleolar RNA from Suncus etruscus (white-toothed pygmy shrew), 135 nucleotides. RefSeq annotates it as small nucleolar RNA SNORA24. NCBI's taxonomy places the organism in Eukaryota, Metazoa, Chordata, Mammalia, Eulipotyphla, Soricidae. The transcript has a single exon. The record is from RefSeq and is a predicted model, not a curated record.